UUGUGGAGGAGGACGCCGAAGGUGGGGCUAAUGACUGGGGUGAAGUCGUAACAAGGUAGCCGUACCGGAAGGUGCGGCUGGAUCACUCCUAACAGGGAGACAUAAACUGAUUAUGAUGUCUGAUUUAUAAAUUUAGGCCGUAAUCCUGUCACCUUAGGUCGAUCGGUACCUCAGAUUAUUAACUGUGAAAUUGAGAAAUCAUUUAUCAUUAGUCUUUUAAUUUCAGUUCCUAAACUUGUCUAGGUCACACCCAACAAACUUUCUCCUGGGCUAUUAGCUCAGGCGGUUAGAGCGCACCCCUGAUAAGGGUGAGGUCCCUGGUUCAAGUCCAGGAUGGCCCAUUCGUUGUUGGGGGUAUAGCUCAGUUGGUAGAGCGCCUGCUUUGCAAGCAGGAUGUCAGCGGUUCGAGUCCGCUUACCUCCACUGAUCAACUACCUGAUAACUCAAUUUGGAGAUUGUUUUUUGUUUAAUGUGAUUUAGAUGUUGUUCAUCUGAACGAACCUAGCUUCCUAUCACACCUUUUAGUAUGGAAGGCUGAUAAGACGCUGGGCUCACUGAUAUUCAAUAGAAUAUCAGUUUGAUUCAGUAGAACCUUGACAACUGCAUAGGAAAGUCUAGAAAGAAUAAAGCAUCUCAUAGAUGCAUAGAUUUAGUUGUUUUCAGAAUUUCUGCAAAUAAUUAAUAUCUAUGUUCAAUUCUUGAGUCAGAGCUUAAUAUCUAUAACUUUGAUUAACUUAGAAAUAAGUUUUUUAUCUAAUUAACUUUAGUAAGUUCUAGAUAUUAUUAAUGGUCAAGCUACAA
Molecule: unclassified non-coding RNA, 801 nt
Filed under: uncultured Prochlorococcus sp.
Lineage: Bacteria; Bacillati; Cyanobacteriota; Cyanophyceae; Synechococcales; Prochlorococcaceae
Description: partial 16S-23S ribosomal RNA intergenic spacer; may also contain 16S ribosomal RNA and 23S ribosomal RNA
Rfam family: tRNA (bases 351-423)
Source: RNAcentral